CCUACGGGUGGCAGCAGUGAGGAAUAUUGGUCAAUGGGCUUACGCCUGAACCAGCCAAGUCGCGUGAGGGAAGACUGCCCUAUGGGUCGUAAACCUCUGUUGUCAGGGAGCAACGCCGGCUACGUGUAGCCGGACGGAGAGGACCUGAAGAAAAAGCAGCGGCUAACUCAGUGCCAGCAGCCGAGGUAAUACUGCGGAUGCGAGCGUUAUCCGGAUUUAUUGGGUUGAAAGGGUGCGUAGGCGGAAUGCCAAGUCAGCGGUAAAAUCGCGGGCCUCAACCUGGCUCAGCCGUUGAAACUGUCGUUCUUGCGUGUGCGAGACGUAUUCGGCAUGCGUUGUGUAGCGGUGAAAUGCAUAGAUAUCACGCAGAACUCCUAUUGCGCAGGCAGCAUACCGGCGCCCAACUGACGCUGCAGCACGAAAGCGUGGGUAUCGAACAGGAUUAGAUACCCCUGUAGUC
This 460-nucleotide ribosomal RNA is filed under the name uncultured bacterium. RNAcentral's name for it is "partial 16S ribosomal RNA". It matches the Rfam family "Bacterial small subunit ribosomal RNA", at positions 338 to 795 of the family's 1533-position model. The record is from RNAcentral.